Long non-coding RNA from Mya arenaria, 217 nucleotides. RefSeq lists it as uncharacterized. The transcript is spliced from 3 exons. Lineage: Eukaryota; Metazoa; Mollusca; Bivalvia; Myida; Myidae. The record is from RefSeq and is a predicted model, not a curated record.
ACAUUUUACCGGAAGUCAUGCGCGCGCAAGGGAUUAUGGGAAACAGUAAAGUCGCGAAUUCCUUGGAUGUGCAAGAAAAUCUUUUAUGUAUCAGAUUGUACAGUUCCUAGUAAUGAGAAAUGGCGCAGUUGGUGCAGUGCAGAAACUAGUUUACUCAGAAUGUUUGUUCCAACUGACGGAUGAUAUUGUCAGAUAAGAGCACAUUGGCAUGUUGCAG